This 461-nucleotide ribosomal RNA is filed under the name uncultured bacterium. RNAcentral describes it as "bacterial SSU rRNA". It matches the Rfam family "Bacterial small subunit ribosomal RNA", at positions 36 to 507 of the family's 1533-position model. The record is from RNAcentral.
CUAGCGGCAGGCUUAAUACAUGCAAGUCAAGGGGGUAGCAAUACAACCGGCGCACGGGUGAGUAACACGUACACAACAUACCAUAUACUGAGGUAUAGCUUCGGGAAACUGAAGGUAAUCCCUCAUAGUAUUGUGAAAGGGCAUCUUUUUACAAUUAAAGUUUCGACGGUAUAUGAUUGGUGUGCGUUUGAUUAGCUAGUUGGUAGGGUAACGGCCUACCAAGGCAACGAUCAAUAGCUGGCGUGAGAGCGCGACCAGCCACACUGGAACUGAGACACGGUCCAGACUCCUACGGGAGGCAGCAGUAGGGAAUAUUGGGACAAUGGGCGAAAGCCUGAUCCAGCCAUGCCGCGUGAUAGAUGAAGGCCCUCUGGGUUGUAAAUAUCUUUUAUCUGGGAAGAAACACUUCUAUUCUUAGAAGCUUGACGGUACCAGAGGAAUAAGCACCGGCUAACUCUGUG